This 2153-nucleotide ribosomal RNA is filed under the name Flavobacterium anhuiense. RNAcentral describes it as "bacterial LSU rRNA". It matches the Rfam family "Bacterial large subunit ribosomal RNA", at positions 405 to 2571 of the family's 2925-position model. Lineage: Bacteria; Pseudomonadati; Bacteroidota; Flavobacteriia; Flavobacteriales; Flavobacteriaceae. The record is from RNAcentral.
AUCCUGAGUAGGGCGGGGCACGUGAAACCCUGUCUGAAUUCGGCGGGACCAUCCGCUAAGGCUAAAUACUCCUGAGAGACCGAUAGUGAACCAGUACCGUGAGGGAAAGGUGAAAAGAACCGUGAAUAACGGAGUGAAAUAGAUCCUGAAACCAUGCGCCUACAAGCGGUCGGAGCCCUUUCGUGGGGUGACGGCGUGCCUUUUGCAUAAUGAGCCUACGAGUUAACGCUGCUGGCAAGGAUAAGUGGUUAAGCCAUGGAUCCGCAGCGAAAGCGAGUCUGAAUAGGGCGCUUUAGUCAGUAGUGUUAGACGCGAAACCGUGUGAUCUACCCAUGGGCAGGUUGAAGCUGUGGUAACACACAGUGGAGGACCGAACCGGUUGACGUUGAAAAGUCUUCGGAUGACCUGUGGGUAGGGGUGAAAGGCCAAUCAAACUCGGAAAUAGCUCGUACUCCCCGAAAUGCAUUUAGGUGCAGCGCUGGAUAUAGUUAUAUAGAGGUAGAGCUACUGAUUGGAUGCGGGGGCUUCACCGCCUACCAAUUCCUGACAAACUCCGAAUGCUAUAUAAUGUUUACCAGCAGUGAGGGCUUGGGUGCUAAGGUCCAAGUCCGAGAGGGAAAGAACCCAGACCAUCAGCUAAGGUCCCCAAAUAUAUGCUAAGUUGAAAGAACGAGGUUUGUCUGCCCAGACAGCUAGGAUGUUGGCUUGGAAGCAGCCAUUCAUUUAAAGAGUGCGUAACAGCUCACUAGUCGAGCGGACGAGCAUGGAUAAUAAUCGGGCAUAAGCAUAUUACCGAAGCUAUGGAUUUGCAUGUAUGUGCAAGUGGUAGGGGAGCAUUCUGACAGGGCUGAAGGUGUAUCGUAAGGUAUGCUGGACCGGUCAGAAAAGAAAAUGUAGGCAUAAGUAACGAUAAUGCGGGCGAGAAACCCGCACACCGAAAAACUAAGGUUUCCACAGCUAUGCUAAUCAGCUGUGGGUUAGUCUGGACCUAAGGCGAACCCGAAAGGGGCAGUCGAUGGCCAACGGGUUAAUAUUCCCGUACUUCUUAUUGCUGUGAUGGGGUGACGGAGUGAUGAAAGCGCCGCGGACUGACGGAAUAGUCCGUUAAAGCACCUAGCUAUAUCUUCUAUAGGCAAAUCCGUAGAAGAUGGCGAAAUGCGAUAGUACUCGGAGUCUUCGGACAAAGAGAUAGCGCGCCUAAGGGCUUCCAAGAAAAACCUCUAAACUUCAGGCAGUAAGAACCAGUACCGUAAACCGACACAGGUAGUUGAGGAGAGAAUCCUAAGGUGCUCGAGAGAUUCAUGGCUAAGGAAUUAGGCAAAAUAGACCUGUAACUUCGGGAGAAAGGUCGCCCACAGCGAUGUGGGCCGCAGUGAAGAGGUCCAGGCGACUGUUUAUCAAAAACACAGGGCUCUGCAAAAUCGCAAGAUGAAGUAUAGGGCCUGACACCUGCCCGGUGCUGGAAGGUUAAGAGGAGAUGUUAUCUUCGGAGAAGCAUUGAAUUGAAGCCCCAGUAAACGGCGGCCGUAACUAUAACGGUCCUAAGGUAGCGAAAUUCCUUGUCGGGUAAGUUCCGACCUGCACGAAUGGUGUAACGAUCUGGACACUGUCUCAGCCAUGAGCUCGGUGAAAUUGUAGUAACGGUGAAGAUGCCGUUUACCCGCAGUGGGACGAAAAGACCCUGUGCACCUUUACUAUAGCUUAGUAUUGACCUUGGAUAAAUGAUGUGUAGGAUAGGUUGGAGACUGUGAAGGGGCGUCGCCAGGCGCUUUGGAGUCAUUGUUGAAAUACAACCCUUUGUUUAUCUGAGGCCUAACCCCGUGCUGCGGGGGACAGUGCUUGGUGGGUAGUUUGACUGGGGUGGUCGCCUCCAAAAGAGUAACGGAGGCUUCUAAAGGUUCCCUCAGCACGCUUGGUAACCGUGCGCAGAGUGCAAUGGCAUAAGGGAGCUUGACUGAGAGACAUACAGGUCGAUCAGGUACGAAAGUAGAGCAUAGUGAUCCGGUGGUUCCGCAUGGAAGGGCCAUCGCUCAAAGGAUAAAAGGUACGCCGGGGAUAACAGGCUGAUCUCCCCCAAGAGCUCAUAUCGACGGGGGGGUUUGGCACCUCGAUGUCGGCUCGUCACAUCCUGGGGCUGGAGAAGGUCCCAAGGG